Molecule: ribosomal RNA, 277 nt
Filed under: uncultured prokaryote
Description: partial 16S ribosomal RNA
Rfam family: Bacterial small subunit ribosomal RNA
Source: RNAcentral
UGAGGAAUUUUGCGCAAUGGGGGAAACCCUGACGCAGCAACGCCGCGUGGGUGAUGAAGGCCUUCGGGUCGUAAAGCCCUGUCGGGCGGGAAGAACGUCCCUUCGGGGAAUGACGGUACCGCCAGCGGAAGCACCGGCUCACUCCGUGCCAGCAGCCGCGGUAAUACGGAGGGUGCAAGCGUUGUUCGGAAUUACUGGGCGUAAAGGGCGUGCAGGCGGGAGGGCAAGUCUGAUGUGAAAGCCCGGGGCUUAACCCCGGAAGGGCAUUGGAAACUGC